This 491-nucleotide ribosomal RNA is filed under the name uncultured bacterium. RNAcentral describes it as "partial 16S ribosomal RNA". It matches the Rfam family "Bacterial small subunit ribosomal RNA", at positions 29 to 507 of the family's 1533-position model. The record is from RNAcentral.
AUUGAACGCUGGCGGCAUGCUUUACACAUGCAAGUCGAACGGUAACAGGCCUUCGGGUGCUGACGAGUGGCGAACGGGUGAGUAAUGCAUCGGAACGUACCCAGAGGUGGGGGAUAACGCAGCGAAAGCUGUGCUAAUACCGCAUGUGAUCUGAGGAUGAAAGCGGGGGACCGAGCAGCAAUGUUUGGCCUCGCGCCUUUGGAGCGGCCGAUGUCGGAUUAGCUAGUUGGUGGGGUAAAGGCCUACCAAGGCGACGAUCCGUAGCUGGUCUGAGAGGACGACCAGCCACACUGGGACUGAGACACGGCCCAGACUCCUACGGGAGGCAGCAGUGGGGAAUUUUGGACAAUGGGCGCAAGCCUGAUCCAGCAAUGCCGCGUGCGGGAAGAAGGCCUUCGGGUUGUAACCGCUUUUGGCAGGAACGAAACGGUGUCCGCUAAUACCGGGCGCUAAUGACGGUACCUGCAGAAUAAGCACCGGCUAACUACGUG